UGGGGAAUAUUGGACAAUGGGCGCAAGCCUGAUCCAGCCAUGCCGCGUGUGUGAAGAAGGCCUUUUGGUUGUAAAGCACUUUAAGCGAGGAGGAGGCUACCUGUAUUAAUACUAUAGGAUAGUGGACGUUACUCGCAGAAUAAGCACCGGCUAACUCUGUGCCAGCAGCCGCGGUAAUACAGAGGGUGCGAGCGUUAAUCGGAAUUACUGGGCGUAAAGCGCGCGUAGGCGGUUUGUUAAGUCGGAUGUGAAAUCCCCGGGCUCAACCUGGGAAUUGCAUUCGAUACUGGCAAGCUAGAGUAUGGGAGAGGAAGGUAGAAUUCCAGGUGUAGCGGUGAAAUGCGUAGAGAUCUGGAGGAAUACCGAUGGCGAAGGCAGCCUUCUGGCCUAAUACUGACGCUGAGGUGCGAAAGCAUGGGGAGCAAACAGG
RNAcentral lists this ribosomal RNA (430 nucleotides) under uncultured bacterium. Its description in RNAcentral is "bacterial SSU rRNA". It matches the Rfam family "Bacterial small subunit ribosomal RNA", at positions 355 to 776 of the family's 1533-position model. The record is from RNAcentral.